AAUCCGCAAAGUAUAAUUGAAUAGUGAGCAAUCACCAGCAGACAAAAACACGCUUUGGAGAAAAAAAAUAUUAGGAAAGAAAAUCCAAUGCUUUGUGUUUGCAACCUAGGCGGUUAUUUUGUUUUAUUUAUCUGCAGCCCCCAGAGCAAGAGAUGAGACCCAGAAGCACUGCACAGCAGUGGGGAAACCAUCUCCAAACUCAGAGGUUAUCAAUGUGAUGUGCACUGGCAGAACCACCCCAUGUGCAGGGAGGUGAUGCCCCAUCACCAGUUCGUCCAGCUCCAACCUCACCCUCCCAGGGCUGCGAGUAAAGAACUGACCAUGGUCCUGACCGCUUCAGGCUCAGGACACGCUGCACCAAGCAGGUCCCAGGCCCAGCUUCAGAGCACACGAGCACAGCUCAUCACAUCCCAAGCAAGACUUGAAUCUGGGCCACAACCCCAGCAGGUGACACAGGCAGUGACAACCAGCACCUGGCAUAGUUCAUGCACUGCCACCCCCAUCACAGGUCCCACGUGCUGAGCCAGUGUCACCUGGAGCUGCAGCCCCACCAGGACCCCGGGUCUGCCUAACAGCUGUCCAACACCACACCCACCUCACUCCUUGCCCAGAUGGGUGACAGGCACCAGACCACCAGCUGAGAAGAGCCGGACAUGAUGCCUUCAGAGCUCACUCGACAGGAAACCACAUCCCACUGUGGGAAUCCAUCCUCCCUUCCCUCAAUUUGGUAGAAGAAUACCACCCAAAAUGGCAAAACAUGGCUGCACCCAGUGUUCUGGAGUUUGGUGUCACCACCAGGACAAGCCCUGUGCCCACACACCGAUGUUCCCUGACUCACCCACUGA
Long non-coding RNA from Gallus gallus (chicken), 845 nucleotides. RefSeq lists it as uncharacterized. The transcript has 3 exons. The record is from RefSeq and is a predicted model, not a curated record. Lineage: Eukaryota; Metazoa; Chordata; Aves; Galliformes; Phasianidae.